UACGUAGGGUGCAAGCGUUACUCGGAAUUACUGGGCGUAAAGCGUGCGCAGGCGGUUAUGUAAGACAGAUGUGAAAUCCCCCGGCUCAACCGGGGAAGGGGCGCCGAUACGACCGCCCUGGAGGGACGUAGGGGGGGCUGGAACUUCCGGUGGAGCGGUGAAAUGCGUUGAGAUCGGAAGGAACGCCCGUGGCGAAAGCGAGCCCCUGGACGUCUACUGACGCUGAGACGCGAAAGCCAGGGGAGCGAACGGG
RNAcentral lists this ribosomal RNA (253 nucleotides) under uncultured bacterium. RNAcentral's name for it is "partial 16S ribosomal RNA". It matches the Rfam family "Bacterial small subunit ribosomal RNA", at positions 524 to 776 of the family's 1533-position model. The record is from RNAcentral.